Molecule: long non-coding RNA, 1611 nt
Organism: Eriocheir sinensis (Chinese mitten crab)
Lineage: Eukaryota; Metazoa; Arthropoda; Malacostraca; Decapoda; Varunidae
Exons: 2
Source: RefSeq, a predicted model, not a curated record
GCGACACAACCAGCAAUGCGGAAAAUAAGUAUUGACAAACUGCGAUAAGAGCGAGAAGCAGGAGGGGGCCCGCAAACAGGAGCACCCGUGACGUCAAGGGUCACGUGACGGGGCUGGUGGUGGUGGAGGAAGGGCUAGUCAGUCUGACCACGCACGCUCCAGGAAGUUGUAUCACGAUGUUUCUUGUUGAACAGUGUCGUUUGUGUGCUUAUUAACGCGUUCUGAUUAGUGAUUCUGGGUGCGUUAUCGUCGCGGCGGUGUAGGGAUUCGAGUGAUGUGCCAGAGUGAUCGUCAAAGGGGGUCAAAGGGCUUCGCGCAGGCGCAGUACAAUAGGCUGGUUAGGCUGUCAACCGCCUGCCCCUGCCGCCCCGCCUGCCGCCCCGGCCUGCCCGUCGCCGGUUCGUUAGGGUGUGAGUGAGGGGCGCAGGGAGUGACCCAGACGGACUCCCGCGGAGAGCGAUAGAAAAAUAAGUGAUCAGCGUGGAAUGUGCCUCAGCCCGCAGUGAUGAGCUGGGCACCUCGACACUGCUGGCCUCGCCCUGAUGACAGGUAAGCCCCCUCAUUCCCUCACCUGUGGCCUCACACCACCUCAGCUCUGACCUAACACUCCCCUUCAUCCUUGUGCCGCUGCUGCUGGACACUUAAGACUCAGUGUUUGACUUAAUCGUAUUAUAUUUAUACAUUGUAAUAUGGGACCUUGUAUAAUGAGCUGAGUUUGUGUGAGGUCAGUAUUUAUAUUAUAAUGUAACUAUUUUAGUUUUAUUUAAUUUUUCUCGUGUAAAUGUUCAGUAUUAUGUGUAACACAACGAUUCCUAUGUGCAUUUUUUGUUGUAUGUGUAGACCGUGUUCUGCUUUAGGUGAGCAUUGCAGGAGUCUCAGUAUGGAUCCUGCGGAAAUAUUUCAUUUAAACAUAUUUUUUUCGUGAUGAUUUGUGGUACUUGUUUGCGUGACGGAGAGCUGUGGGCGGGAGGCGUGGUGGUCGCGGUCCUGGUCGUGGCGGGUCGAUGUGUUGACCAAGUGGCGGCCGCAGCGCCCCACCGCCGCCCCGCUCCGGCAAUGUUUGUACGCGGCUCGGGGAUAAGUGAUCGCUUGAUGUACAUUGGGCGACCUCGGAACCAACGCUUGGGCUCGGGAGUGUGAAAUAGAUGCGGGCGAGCUUGCCACAAAUGAGUUUAAGCAGAAGUUGGUCAUCAAUACGCUUGAGUUAUUAAUGUAAUUAAGGUAUUAAUGUUGGAAAUACCGCAAUUAGCUUAGUUAGGCGGUGGCUGAGUGAUUAGCGAGCGGGCCCCCCAUUCACCGCACCAUGGACGACAUCGGUUCGAAUCCGCUCGCUACCACCUGGGAUUUCAGUCACCGCCAAGUGGCUUGACUACCCACAUGCUGUCCAUGAGACCGCCCAUCAACCCGGACUCAUGAAGAAACCGUCCAAGUGUAUCAAGAAUGAGUUCCGGGGUUCAGCAUGAGCCAAGCAUAAAUGGCGCCACUAUAAAACAAAUUGCCUGCGCCAUGACGGGCUUGGGCCGAUCACCAGGCCUUUGAAGAAAGCCUACCGGCGCUACAGGCGAAGUAAAAAAAAAAAAAAAAAAAAAAAAAAAAAAAGAAAAGAAAGAA